Molecule: ribosomal RNA, 1320 nt
Filed under: Bathyporeia sarsi
Lineage: Eukaryota; Metazoa; Arthropoda; Malacostraca; Amphipoda; Pontoporeiidae
Description: SSU rRNA
Rfam family: Eukaryotic small subunit ribosomal RNA
Source: RNAcentral
AAAGAUUAAGCCAUGCAUGUCUAAGUCCAAGCUGUGUUUGACACGGCGAGACCGCGGACGGCUCAUUAAAUCAGUCGUGGUCCAAAUGGGCCAGUGUUAUGCUUACUUGGAUAACUGUGGUAAUUCCAGAGCUAAUACAUGCAACCUAUAUCCCGAAGGCGGGCUUUACUCUUGUAGUGGGUCUGUUCUGACGGAUGCUUUUAUUAGACCAAACCGCUGAGGGUGUGGGUGUUACGCUUCGGCUAGCGCUCAUGCUUGACUCGCUUAAUGGUGACUCUGGAUAACCUUUUUGACAAGCGCACGUACCCAUCUUUAGACGGGACGGCGCUGCCACUUUCGAGUGUCUGCCUUAUCAGCUAUCAACCGUUCGUUAUGUGCGACCGAUGGCUUUGACGGGUAACGGGGAAUCAGGGUUCGAUUCCGGAGAGGCAGCCUGAGAGACGGCUACCACGUCCAAGGACGGCAGCAGGCACGCAAAUUACCCAAUCCCAGCAACUGGGGGAGGUAGUGACGAAAUCUAACGAUGCGGGCGCCCUUUUUGGGGCCCCGCAAUCGGAAUGGGCACUUUCUAAAUAACCUGUUGAGAACCUACUGAAGGGCAAGUCUGGUGCCAGCAGCCGCGGUAAUUCCAGCUUCAGCAGCAUCUAUUAAAGUUGCUGCGGUUAAAAGGCUCGCAGUUGAAUGUCAGUAUCGAGCGCAGGUCAGGUGGACGUUGGGGUGUGAGAGCUAAAGGUUCUGAUCUUGGUUCAGGCUUGCUUGUUCCUCGUGAAGUUCCUUCUCACAAACUCCCGUCCGUGACAAGCCUCCUCGCUUGCGUACAUAUCGGAAUCGGAUCAUGGAGUGUGCGCAGUGGUGUCCCUUGGGGCAUUGCUCGCACGUUAAGCUCCUUCGGUUUUAUGGUCACCUUGAGUAAAUCAGAGUGCUCAAAGCAGUCGUAGGGGCCUUGCGCCCUGUGAACAGUCUUGACGGACUGACUUGGUUUUGCAUGGCAUGUCGGAAGACGACGUCGUGUGCUGGCUCAGAGUAAUCAGUGGUAAAAGCCAGCCUCGACGUACUGAUUAAGAGGGACGGUCGAGGGCAUUGGUAUUGCGAGGCGAGAGGUGAAAUUCUAUGACCCCCGCAAGACCUCCUGAAGCGAAAGCGUCUGCCAAGGACGUUUUCAUUAAUCAUGAACCAAAGUUAGAGGAUCGAAGGCGAUCAGAUACCGCCCUAGUUCUAACCCUAAACGAUGCCAACCAUCAAUCCGCGCGUAGCACCCUUCUUAACGGGCUCGGCGGGCAGCUCCCCACUCACGGGAAACCAGAGUCUCUGGGUUCCGGG